Molecule: transfer RNA, 47 nt
Filed under: Triticum monococcum (einkorn wheat)
Lineage: Eukaryota; Viridiplantae; Streptophyta; Magnoliopsida; Poales; Poaceae
Description: partial tRNA-Met
Source: RNAcentral
AGCGGAGUAGAGCAGUUUGGUAGCUCACGAGGCUCAUAACCUUGAGG